GCAAUAGUAGCUCAGCGUCUCAGAGCACCGGUCUUGUAAGCCGGACGUCGAAGGUUAAAUUCCAUCCUACUGCU
Molecule: transfer RNA, 74 nt
Filed under: Stegastes adustus (dusky damselfish)
Lineage: Eukaryota; Metazoa; Chordata; Actinopteri; Pomacentridae
Description: tRNA-Thr
Rfam family: tRNA
About the family: Transfer RNA (tRNA) molecules are approximately 80 nucleotides in length. Their secondary structure includes four short double-helical elements and three loops (D, anti-codon, and T loops).
Source: RNAcentral